CUACGGGCUGCUCCAGUGGGGAAUAUUGCACAAUGGGCGCAAGCCUGAUGCAGCCAUGCCGCGUGUAUGAAGAAGGCCUUCGGGUUGUAAAGUACUUUCAGCGGGGAGGAAGGGAGUAAAGUUAAUACCUUUGCUCAUUGACGUUACCCGCAGAAGAAGCACCGGCUAACUCCGUGCCAGCAGCCGCGGUAAUACGGAGGGUGCAAGCGUUAAUCGGAAUUACUGGGCGUAAAGCGCACGCAGGCGGUUUGUUAAGUCAGAUGUGAAAUCCCCGGGCUCAACCUGGGAACUGCAUCUGAUACUGGCAAGCUUGAGUCUCGUAGAGGGGGGUAGAAUUCCAGGUGUAGCGGUGAAAUGCGUAGAGAUCUGGAGGAGUACCGGUGGCGAAGGCGGCCCCCUGGACGAAGACUGACGCUCAGGUGCGAAAGCGUGGGGAGCAAACAGGAUUAGAUACCCUCGUAGUC
RNAcentral lists this ribosomal RNA (464 nucleotides) under uncultured bacterium. RNAcentral's name for it is "partial 16S ribosomal RNA". It matches the Rfam family "Bacterial small subunit ribosomal RNA", at positions 339 to 795 of the family's 1533-position model. The record is from RNAcentral.